Long non-coding RNA from Bombina bombina (fire-bellied toad), 671 nucleotides. RefSeq lists it as uncharacterized. The record is from RefSeq and is a predicted model, not a curated record. NCBI's taxonomy places the organism in Eukaryota, Metazoa, Chordata, Amphibia, Anura, Bombinatoridae. The transcript has 4 exons.
CUGAGAUACAACCUUCCAAGGAUGCAUCAUUUGAUAGAAUAUGCCAGGAGCAUGGGACAUUGUAAGCACUGACCUUCUACACACCUAUACAAUGCUGGGUUACCAUGCUAAUGACUCCAGGCACUGAUUCUACUACGCUAUCCCAAAAGCAUCGAACAUAAGCUUUCUGUGUUUUCCGACUCUCAUUGAGUUCUAUGGCAUCUGCGACCUCAAGGGUGGUGAAUUGAAAACUAGAGUCUGAGGCCAGUUAGGAGGAAACACAGCAGGAACAUGCUCCUCCUUCACGAAGGCAUGAGAGUAAUGCAGAAGGUGACACGCCAUCUUGGAGAGAACUGGAAGAUACCCCUGCAGAAGAUACCCUUGCAGAAGAUCACCCUGCAGAAGCGCCCCUGCAGAAGAUAUCGCUGCAGCCGCCCCCCGUGCAGUAGCUUGCCGUGUAGCAGCUUCCCCUGAGGAGAACAUCCCCCCGAAAUUCCCUAGGUGGAGCUGAUGAGGGUCUUCCUGCAGGAAAUGCAGGACUCCCGGAUGGCACAACAGACACACACACCGUUUAUGACUAACGCAGUGAACACCGUGAUAGAAGGACAAAUAAAUAUGGUAAAUGUUCUAAAUAAUAUAUUUCCAGUCCUCCUGGAGGUGGCAUGUAGACCAUAUCCAGAAAUAGGAAGACC